GUGGGGAAUAUUCCGCAAUGGACGAAAGUCUGACGGAGCAACGCCGCGUGAGUGAUGAAGGUUUUCGGACUGUAAAGCUCUGUUGUUUGGGACGAAAGUGCCUGUUGCGAACAGUUACGGGUAUUGACGGUACUAAACGAGGAAGCCACGGCUAACUACGUGCCAGCAGCCGCGGUAAUACGUAGGUGGCAAGCGUUGUCCGGAAUUAUUGGGCGUAAAGAGCAUGUAGGCGGGAAUCUAAGUCUGUUGUUAAAAUGCGGGGCUCAACCCCGUAUUGCGAUGGAAACUGGGUUUCUUGAGUGCAGGAGAGGAAAGGGGAAUUCCCAGUGUAGCGGUGAAAUGCGUAGAUAUUGGGAGGAACACCAGUGGCGAAGGCGCCUUUCUGGACUGUGUCUGACGCUGAGAUGCGAAAGCCAGGGUAGCGAACGGGAUUAGAAACCCUUGUAGUC
RNAcentral lists this ribosomal RNA (449 nucleotides) under uncultured bacterium. RNAcentral's name for it is "partial 16S ribosomal RNA". It matches the Rfam family "Bacterial small subunit ribosomal RNA", at positions 354 to 795 of the family's 1533-position model. The record is from RNAcentral.